This 274-nucleotide ribosomal RNA is filed under the name uncultured bacterium. RNAcentral describes it as "partial 16S ribosomal RNA". It matches the Rfam family "Bacterial small subunit ribosomal RNA", at positions 523 to 796 of the family's 1533-position model. The record is from RNAcentral.
AUACGGAGGGUGCAAGCGUUACUCGGAAUCACUGGGCGUAAAGGACGCGUAGGCGGGAUGCCAAGUCUGAUGUGAAAUCCUAUGGCUCAACCAUAGAACUGCAUUGGAAACUGGUAACCUAGAGUAUGGGAGGGGGAGAUGGAAUUAGUGGUGUAGGGGUAAAAUCCGUAGAUAUCACUAGGAAUACCGAAAGCGAAGGCGAUCUCCUGGAACAUUACUGACGCUAAGGCGUGAAAGCGUGGGGAGCAAACAGGAUUAGAAACCCUAGUAGUCC